GGCUACCCAUUCAAGACUGUUUCCACACUGUGGAAGCUUUGUACUUUCACUCUGCUCAAUAAAGCCUGCAGCUUUUUCUCACUCUCAGUCCAUGUCUCUUUCACUCACUGUGGUCAGCUUCCACACCAUUUCUUUGGUGUGGCUUGGCAAGAACCUCAGGUGUUACAUCUUGGCGAGCCAGACAGGAGACUCCAGAAAAGGUAUCUAGAUCAUCAUGCAGGGUGAUUUUCCUGUACCAGUCCAAUGCCUCCAGAGGAAGAUCAUACAUUUGCCAUUUUACUGCUUAGUACGCAUGCUUGAGCCUGCUCGCCCAACUGCUGAGAUCUUAUUCAGAAACUGCUGAUCACCAACUCCAGGUGUUUUUAUUACACAAGACAAAAACGGAAAAACAGUAACAAAUGAUUGGUUAAGCCUUUCAAAACAAAGAAGUUAUGCCUGGAGUGGGAGGAACAUUACACUAUACUUCUUUCUCCUCCUUCAUUAGUGAAGGUCACUGGAAUAGGUUCAUUACACUCAAGCAAAGGCCUGGGGAAAUGAUAGAAUUACCUCUGUUGACCCAGAAGAGCACCAAAAGCACCAGUGUGCAGAAAUCAGAGACCUCAAGCUAAAAGUCAUAAAAGGACAAGAACCUGGAAGUCGUCGAACUGUGGAAGCAAAAGACCUGUAAUGCUCCUGCUUGCCGAGCUGUGAGCAGUGGUAGUAAAAGAGCAGUAACAUUCUCUCCUGCUUGCCAAACAGGAGAGAAGCCACUGGCACCACUCCCUCCCACUCACUGAACUAUAGAAGAGAAAAAAUUGAAACACCAAAAUUGGGGAAAUGCGACUUUUGCGAAAAUUUGAAAGUGCAUGCUUCACAGAAGGAAGGGGGAGCUGGUCUAUUAUGUCUCACUAUAACAAGACUAAAAUUUUGCAAAUAAAUUGUUCCUGCCAUAAUUUAUCCUUGGUAGAAAUGAAGAAAUUGGAGAGAGAAAAAAUUGGAUUCUAGGUCCUGACCAUUGUUUUUGAAUUUUUAUUAUUUUCCUACAAUUUAGGCUAAAUUCUGAACUAUUUGCUGGCUACAAGAGGCCUCUAAAAAAGAGCUGGGUUUUAGUUUUCUUCAUGCUCUUUAAAAACUGGCAUAUAAUGGUGUGUAUCUCUCGUUGUUUUACUUCUAAGAAACUGAAGGCAUGAUAUUCUGAAGACUAGAGGUGAUUCAAUAGCCUAUGAAUCUUCUUCAUUUGGAACCCCACUGGGCCUGAUCUGUUUCCCAUCACCAAUGCACUUCUGCUAAACCUAUAUCCUAUCAAGUACUCUCCCUAAAUGCUCAGAGACCAUAACAGAAGAUGAGGGUGUGUGAGAUUAUAAAAGCCAAAUUAGUGGAGUGGAAUCUGGAGGCUAAAGCAACUCCAUCUUGGAUGCUAAUCUGCCAUGUUGGCUUCUGAUUAACCCCAGUUCUGGAGGGCCUCUGAGGUUUCCAAUUUAUCUACUGUCCCUUGUGUAAGAACAAGUACUUAUCAUAAAUCCUGCUAUUAGGGCAAAUUUCUACCCAUUCCCUCUGAAGCAUGUGCACCUCUCCUCUACAUGUAAUCUCCCCUACAAUAGAUAAACCCCUCUGGGUCUGGGGGCUAAUAGUGUGGGAACCCAUCAUCUUGCCUCACUGCUGCACAAGCCACAGGUGUGGCUUCUGUUUCUAAGUCCCUAUUAAAUGUUUCUAGAUACCAGAUGUAUCAACCUCUUUCUUCAGCCUCUCAGCUUCCUGGGACUUUGGGGUUGGUUUGCAUAGACCUACCCACCAAAAAACUCUCACAGAGUCAGUCUUAAAUACAUACAGAGCACGGUUGGGAAAAUUCCAUGAAUAUUUAUAGGGGAAGUCAUGUGCUUGAAAAUUGGAUAAACUUGUAUGUAACAUACAUUCCAUUUUGACCUGGGGGUGAGGUUUCAGCUGGGAUUCGACUGUUUAUGUCAAAAGGUAAACUCUAGGGCAAAAAGAAUUUGGACAUAGUCUCUGCAAGCUGACUGAAACUGGCUUAAGAUCUAUGGUCACUUAUCAAUAAAGAAUGUGAUAAAAA
This 2047-nucleotide long non-coding RNA is filed under the name Homo sapiens (human). RNAcentral's name for it is "long independently transcribed non-coding RNA 2672, transcript variant 1 (LINC02672)". Lineage: Eukaryota; Metazoa; Chordata; Mammalia; Primates; Hominidae. The record is from RNAcentral.